RNAcentral lists this ribosomal RNA (497 nucleotides) under uncultured bacterium. Its description in RNAcentral is "partial 16S ribosomal RNA". It matches the Rfam family "Bacterial small subunit ribosomal RNA", at positions 28 to 507 of the family's 1533-position model. The record is from RNAcentral.
GACGAACGCUGGCGGCGUGCCUAAUACAUGCAAGUAGAACGCUGAAGAGAGGAGCUUGCUCUUCUUGGAUGAGUUGCGAACGGGUGAGUAACGCGUAGGUAACCUGCCUUGUAGCGGGGGAUAACUAUUGGAAACGAUAGCUAAUACCGCAUAACAAUGGAUGACACAUGUCAUUUAUUUGAAAGGGGCAAUUGCUCCACUACAAGAUGGACUUGCGUUGUAUUAGCUAGUAGGUGAGGUAAUGGCUCACCUAGGCGACGAUACAUAGCCGACCUGAGAGGGUGAUCGGCCACACUGGGACUGAGACACGGCCCAGACUCCUACGGGAGGCAGCAGUAGGGAAACUUCGGCAAUGGGGGCAACCCUGACCGAGCAACGCCGCGUGAGUGAAGGAGGGUUUCGGAUCGUAAAGCUCUGUUGUAAGUCAAGAACGAGUGUGGGAGUGGAAAGUUCACACUGUGACGGUAGCUUACCAGAAAGGGACGGCUAACUACGUG